UGGGGAAUAUUGCACAAUGGAGGGAACUCUGAUGCAGCGACGCCGCGUGAACGAAGAAGGCUUUCGAGUCGUAAAGUUCUUUUAUAUGGGAAGAUAAUGACGGUACCAUAAGAAAAAGCCCCGGCUAACUACGUGCCAGCAGCCGCGGUAAUACGUAGGGGGCUAGCGUUGUCCGGAAUCACUGGGCGUAAAGGGUUCGCAGGCGGAAAUGCAAGUCAGGUGUAAAAGGCAGUAGCUUAACUACUGUAAGCAUUUGAAACUGCAUAUCUUGAGAAGAGUAGAGGUAAGUGGAAUUUUUAGUGUAGCGGUGAAAUGCGUAGAUAUUAAAAAGAAUACCGGUGGCGAAGGCGACUUACUGGGCACAAUCUGACGCUGAGGAACGAAAGCGUGGGGAGCAAACAGG
RNAcentral lists this ribosomal RNA (403 nucleotides) under Verrucomicrobiota bacterium. Its description in RNAcentral is "Verrucomicrobia bacterium partial 16S ribosomal RNA". It matches the Rfam family "Bacterial small subunit ribosomal RNA", at positions 355 to 776 of the family's 1533-position model. Lineage: Bacteria; Pseudomonadati; Verrucomicrobiota. The record is from RNAcentral.